RNAcentral lists this ribosomal RNA (434 nucleotides) under uncultured bacterium. RNAcentral describes it as "partial 16S ribosomal RNA". It matches the Rfam family "Bacterial small subunit ribosomal RNA", at positions 29 to 507 of the family's 1533-position model. The record is from RNAcentral.
AGUGGACGCUGGCGGCAGGCCUAACACAUGCAAGUCGAACGAACCACUCGGGGUUCGUGGCGGUUGGGUGUGUAACAAGAGGGAUCGUGAAUUUAUGCUUGGAAUAACUCAGGGACACUUGUGCUAACACCGAACGUGCGCUUCGGGGGAAUGAUUUAUCGCCUUUAGAGCGGCCCGCGUCUGAUUCGCUAGUUGGUUGAGGUAAAGGCUCACCAAGGCGACGAUCAGUAGCUGGUCUGAGAGGAGGAUCAGCCACAUUGGGACUGAGACACGGCCCAAACUCCUACGGGAGGAUGCAGAGGUUGAUCUUGCGCAAGGGGGGAAGUACAGACGCAGCCAGGGCGGGUGAAUGGUGAAGGUCUUAGGAAAAUAAAAUUCUUUCAGCGGUGGCGAUAGUGACGUUACCCAGAGAAGAAGCCCCGGCUAACUUCGUG